RNAcentral lists this ribosomal RNA (467 nucleotides) under uncultured bacterium. Its description in RNAcentral is "partial 16S ribosomal RNA". It matches the Rfam family "Bacterial small subunit ribosomal RNA", at positions 29 to 507 of the family's 1533-position model. The record is from RNAcentral.
ACGAACGCUGGCGGCGUGCUUAACACCUGCCCGUCGAACGGAAAGGCCCUGCUUUUGUGGGGUGCUCGAGUGGCGAACGGGUGAGUAACACGUGAGUAACCUGCCCUUGACUUUGGGAUAACUUCAGGAAACUGGGGCUAAUACCGGAUAGGAGCUCCUGCUGCAUGGUGGGGGUUGGAAAGUUUCGGCGGUUGGGGAUGGACCCGCGGCUUAUCAGCUUGUUGGUGGGGUAGUGGCUUACCAAGGCUUUGACGGGUAGCCGGCCUGAGAGGGUGACCGGCCACAUUGGGACUGAGAUACGGCCCAGACUCCUACGGGAGGCAGCAGUGGGGAAUAUUGCACAAUGGGCGGAAGCCUGAUGCAGCAACGCCGCGUGCGGGAUGACGGCCUUCGGGUUGUAAACCGCUUUCGCCUGUGACGAAGCGUGAGUGACGGUAAUGGGUAAAGAAGCACCAGCUAACUACGUG